GACGAACGCUGGCGGCGUGCCUAACACAUGCAAGUCGAGCGGACAGACGGUGCCUUUGUGGCAUGCUGUCGUCGGCGACGGGGGGGGUACACGUGAGUCAACUGCCCUUGACUUUUGGGUUAACUCAGGGAACUCGGGCUUAUUCCCGGUAAGCGCUUUUGCUCCCUUGAGGGAGAGGGAAAGUUUCGGCGGUUGGUGAUGGUCACGCGGGGUAUCAGCUUGUUGGAGGGGUAGUGGCUUACCAAGGCUUUGACGGGUAGCCGGCCUGAGCGGGUGACCGGCCACAAUAGGACUGCGAGACGGACCAGACUGCUACGGGAGGCAGUAGUGGGGAAUAUGGCACAAUGGGCGGAAGCCUGAGGCGGCAGCGCCGCGUGCGGGAUGACGGCCUGCGGGGGGUAAACCGCUUUCGCCUGUGACGAAGCGUGAGUGACGGUAAUGGGUAAAGAAGCACCGGCUAACUACGUG
RNAcentral lists this ribosomal RNA (468 nucleotides) under uncultured bacterium. Its description in RNAcentral is "partial 16S ribosomal RNA". It matches the Rfam family "Bacterial small subunit ribosomal RNA", at positions 28 to 507 of the family's 1533-position model. The record is from RNAcentral.